GUAGUCAUUAACUUUCAUAACUAGAGAAAAUAGAUAUAUUUCCUUAUUUAUUAAAGUAGAUAAGUAUAAAAGUGAAUUAAUGUAUUAUCACUUUCAUUAGUAUAAUAAUAGAGUCGAACAUUGAAAUUUAAAGAUCACACUACGCUUAAUUUUUUAACGUAAGUGUUGUGUUUUAGUGAUACAUUCACAAAUUGUUCUGCACUUAGGAAUUUGAGGAGGGAUGCAAAAACUAGUUGGGCAAUCUUCAUCAGAUUCGCAUGUAAUAAUUGCUAUGAUGUCGAAAAAUAAUUAAGGAAGGUUAGCAACAGAAAGUUUAUACAGUAAGAAAAGGUAAGAAAGAUGAAUAAGAUAAAAAGAAGGGUUAAUAGUGUUUUUCACCCCUGUAAUAUAUGUCAUUUUCGAUUUUCGUCCCUAUAAAAUUUUCGGUUUGAUUUUUGCAUCUAAAAUUUCCGAUUUUAUAGGGGCGAAAAUGACAUAUUAUAGGGGUAAAAAACACAAUUAACCCUAAAAAGAACAUUUGAAACGGUAAGAAAAGGUACUUACAGCAGUUCGUUACAUAAAGAAAAAUGGAAAGAAAGAUGAUCGCGGCAUAAAAAACAUUUAAAAUUUUAGUCAUUUUGUAU
This 623-nucleotide long non-coding RNA is filed under the name Medicago truncatula (barrel medic). RNAcentral describes it as "lncRNA gene10086". The record is from RNAcentral. Lineage: Eukaryota; Viridiplantae; Streptophyta; Magnoliopsida; Fabales; Fabaceae.